This 460-nucleotide ribosomal RNA is filed under the name uncultured bacterium. RNAcentral describes it as "partial 16S ribosomal RNA". It matches the Rfam family "Bacterial small subunit ribosomal RNA", at positions 338 to 795 of the family's 1533-position model. The record is from RNAcentral.
CCUACGGGAGGCAGCAGUGAGGAAUAUUGGUCAAUGGACGAGAGUCUGAACCAGCCAAGUAGCGUGAAGGAUGACUGCCCUAUGGGUUGUAAACUUCUUUUAUAUGGGAAUAAAAUGUUCCACGUGUGGGAUUUUGUAUGUACCAUAUGAAUAAGGAUCGGCUCACUCCGUGCCAGCAGCCGCGGUAAUACGGAGGAUCCGAGCGUUAUCCGGAUUGAUUGGGUUUAAAGGGAGCGUAGGUGGAUUGUUAAGUCAGUUGUGAAAGUUUGCGGCUCAACCGUAAAAUUGCAGUUGAAACUGGCAGUCUUGAGUACAGUAGAGGUGGGCGGAAUUCGUGGUGUAGCGGUGAAAUGCUUAGAUAUCACGAAGAACUCCGAUUGCGAAGGCAGCUCACUGGACUGCAACUGACACUGAGGCUCGAAAGUGUGGGUAUCAAACAGGAUUAGAUACCCGGGUAGUC